UACGUAGGGUGCGAGCGUUAAUCGGAAUUACUGGGCGUAAAGCGUGCGCAGGCGGCGCGUUAAGACAGGUGUGAAAGCCCCGAGCUUAACUUGGGAAUUGCGCUUGUGACUGGCGUGCUGGAGUGUGGCAGAGGGAGGUGGAAUUCCACGUGUAGCAGUGAAAUGCGUAGAGAUGUGGAGGAACACCGAUGGCGAAGGCAGCCUCCUGGGCCAGCACUGACGCUCAUGCACGAAAGCGUGGGGAGCGAACGGG
Molecule: ribosomal RNA, 253 nt
Filed under: uncultured bacterium
Lineage: Bacteria
Description: partial 16S ribosomal RNA
Rfam family: Bacterial small subunit ribosomal RNA
Source: RNAcentral